RNAcentral lists this non-coding RNA (930 nucleotides) under Hylarana sp. TNHC 54592. RNAcentral's name for it is "12S ribosomal RNA". It matches the Rfam family "Bacterial small subunit ribosomal RNA". Lineage: Eukaryota; Metazoa; Chordata; Amphibia; Anura; Ranidae. The record is from RNAcentral.
AAAGGUUUGGUCCUAGCCUUAUUAUUUAUUGUUUCUCAACUUACACAUGCAAGUCUCAGCACCCCAGUGAGAAAGCCCUUUCAACCUCCACCAGGUUAAGGAGCCGGCAUCAGGCACAAUUUCUUGCCCACAACACCUAGUCUCACCACACCCCCAAGGGUAAUCAGCAGUGAUAAAUAUUGUUUAUAAGCGACAGCUUGACUCAGUCAGAGAAUAUAGAGCCGGCCAACACGGUGCCAGCCGCCGCGGCUAUACCCAAGGGCCCAAAUUAAUAAUUAUCGGCGUUAAGCGUGAUUAAAGUUCAAAUAAAUUAAGGUUAAAUUAACAUUUAGUAGUGUCAAGCUUGUUGUUAAGAAAUCCACAGACGAAAGUUACCUUAAUAUAUAUAUCUUGAAUACACGACAGCUAGGAACACAAACUGGAAUUAGAUACCCCACUAUGCCUAGCCGUAAACAAUUAACUCACACCAAUAAACGCCAGGGAAUUACGAGCAAUGCUUAAAACCCAAAGGAUUUGACGGUGUCCCACCCCCCUAGAGGAGCCUGUUUUUUAAUCGAUGAUCCCCGAUACACCCGACCACUCCUAGCUAUUAGUCUGUAUACCUCCGUCGAAAGCCUACCAUGUGAACGUUUUCAGUAGGCCCAAUGAUCCCCGUCUAUACGUCAGGUCAAGGUGCAGCUCACGGAAUGGGAAGUAAUGGGCUACAAUUUCUAAACUAGAACAAACGAAAGACUCUGUGAAAUCAUAGUCGCGAAGGCGGAUUUAGUAGUAAAAAGAAAAUAGAGAGUUCUUUUUAACUUGGCUCUGGGACGCGUACACACCGCCCGUCACCCUCUUCAAUUAUACAACUAAAGUCUCUAACCCCACUUUUAACCUUAGAAGAGGCAAGUCGUAACAUGGUAAGUGUACUGGAAAGUGCACUUGGACAUA